RNAcentral lists this ribosomal RNA (447 nucleotides) under uncultured bacterium. RNAcentral's name for it is "partial 16S ribosomal RNA". It matches the Rfam family "Bacterial small subunit ribosomal RNA", at positions 29 to 523 of the family's 1533-position model. The record is from RNAcentral.
AACGAACGCUGGCGGCAGGCUUAACACAUGCAAGUCGAACGCCCCGCAAGGGGAGUGGCAGACGGGUGAGUAACGCGUGGGAAUCUACCCAUCUCUGCGGAAUAGCUCCGGGAAACUGGAAUUAAUACCUUAUACGCCCUUCGGGGGAAAGAUUUAUCGGGGUAUGAUGAGCCCGCGUUGGAUUAGCUAGUUGGUGGGGUAAAGGCCUACCAAGGCGACGAUCCAUAGCUGGUCUGAGAGGAUGAUCAGCCACAUUGGGACUGAGACACGGCCCAAACUCCUACGGGAGGCAGCAGCGGGGAAUAUUGGACAAUGGGCGCAAGCCUGAUCCAGCCAUGCCGCGUGAGUGAUGAAGGCCCUAGGGUUGUAAAGCUCUUUCACCGGUGAAGAUAAUGACGGUAACCGGAGAAGAAGCCCCGGCUAACUUCGUGCCAGCCGCCGCAGUAA